UUCUGGGGUGUAAACUUUACACUGAUAAUGUAGCCUAUAUGAAGUUACUCCAGUAGCACUACCUUCUGCUGACUACAAUAUUAGUCAUACUGCAAAGCUGCUUUUGAGAGCAUCAGGGCAAUCCAAAUGAACCAGAGAAGAGGAGACUGUGUUGAAGUUAAGGACACUCCAUCUCCUGAUUCCAUGCUUUUUCUAUGGCUGUCUCCUGUGUUGGAAUGCUCUCCCUCCUCACCUGUACCACCUGGCUUCCCUGAAAACUCAACUUAUAUUCCACCUUCUCAAAGUGACUGGCCAAAAUGGUGGAGAAGCAGGAAGCAGUGCAGCAAGUUCUCCUCCCUACAACACCUCCAAAUAAAUCUAGAAAAUGUACCCAAAGCCGGAUGGGAAAUUGAAGAAAAAAAUCACAGUCAUUUUUCCAGUCCAACUCAGCACAGAGAGAUAGACAGAGAAGUCAAUGGACACUGGGGAUGAGGUCUGACCAGCAAAGAGCAUGCAGAAGAUUCAACUGCAGUGAAAGUCUAUGUACGAGGACUGCCAAGCAUUGCUGAUGAAAAUACCAUAGAAAUGUUGAAAUGUAAAUUCAGCAGUCAAGAGAAACAUAAAAAGGACUGCCAUAAAAAGGCUCAAUGGAUGACUCUGAGACCCUUCACUAUCUAUUUGAAAGUCGGAUAUAGAAAUUUGCAAGUAAGUGUGGGAGACUGUGCUCUUAUGGAAGUUGCUGAAACCCAGUGAAAGAUAUCAAGCCUGUGAACCAUGCCCAUGGAGCCACCCACCCUUAUCCUACUCUUCCUUAAAUCUCCAUUGUGCCAUCCGAAGCCUCUGUCCUAUUACAUCUAUCGUUACACCUAUAAAAACCCAGUGUUAACACAUUGUUCUUUAUAUUCAACCUGUUCCUACCCUAAUCUACAUACCCAAUUACUU
Molecule: non-coding RNA, 921 nt
Organism: Phascolarctos cinereus (koala)
Lineage: Eukaryota; Metazoa; Chordata; Mammalia; Diprotodontia; Phascolarctidae
Source: RefSeq, a predicted model, not a curated record